UUGCCGUGUGUCUUGUCAGAUAAACCCCCGCCUUCACGCACUUCGUUGCGGGAGGACAAGGAGACUGCUGGUCCUAGCCUAGUUCAGUACAGUAUAUGUUGUGAGCGUGCUUCAGAUCUCCGGAGAUAGCACGGUACACUGUGUCCAGCCCAGAGGUGAAAGCCAUCCAAAGCAGAGUAACUGUGCUUUGCGCCCAAGUUGAUACCUGUGGAGAGAAAAGGAGAGAGAGAUUGAUACCUGUGGAGAGAAAAGGAGAGAGAGUGGGUAACACGAGGUGAGACCGAGGAAACCUGUACUUACGCCGCUGCCUGUGGAGAAAGAGAAAGCGAGUGAGCACCCAAGGAACGAACUGUGUGAACCAGUACUUACUGUGAGCUGUAAUCAGCGAAGAGCCGUUGCCUGUGGAGGAAGAGAAAGAGAGUGAGCACCUCGAGAACGAACUGUGUGAACCAGUACUUACCGUGAGCUGUAUUCAGCGAAGAGGAGGAAGAAGG
Cyprinus carpio carpio is the source of this 494-nucleotide long non-coding RNA. The record is from Ensembl. Lineage: Eukaryota; Metazoa; Chordata; Actinopteri; Cypriniformes; Cyprinidae.